CCUACGGGUGGCUGCAGUGAGGAAUAUUGGUCAAUGGACGAGAGGCUGAACCAGCCAAGUAGCGUGAAGGAUGACUGCCCUAUGGGUUGUAAACUUCUUUUAUAAAGGAAUAAAACGAGGCACGUGUGCCUUGUUGCAUGUACUUUAUGAAUAAGGAUCGGCUAACUCCGUGCCAGCAGCCGCGGUAAUACGGAGGAUGCGAGCGUUAUCCGGAUUUAUUGGGUUUAAAGGGAGCGUAGAUGGGUUGUUAAGUCAGUUGUGAAAGUUUGCGGCUCAACCGUAAAAUUGCCAUUAAUACUGGCAGUCUCGAGUACAGUUGAGGUAGGCGGAAUUCGUGGUGUAGCGGUGAAAUGCUUAGAUAUAACGAAGAACCCCGAUAGCGAAGGCAGCUUACUAAACUGUGACUGACAUUGAUGCUCGAGAGUGUGGGUAUCAAACAGGAUUAGAUACCCUUGUAGUC
Molecule: ribosomal RNA, 460 nt
Filed under: uncultured bacterium
Lineage: Bacteria
Description: partial 16S ribosomal RNA
Rfam family: Bacterial small subunit ribosomal RNA
Source: RNAcentral